Molecule: non-coding RNA, 95 nt
Organism: Desarmillaria ectypa
Lineage: Eukaryota; Fungi; Basidiomycota; Agaricomycetes; Agaricales; Physalacriaceae
Source: the annotation of a GenBank genome assembly
UCAGAUAUGAUGUAAUGGCUAACAUUACCGCCUUUCAUGCACGGCUGAAUGCUAUCUCUACGCGGUAGCUCGCGGUUCGAUUCCCCGUAUCCGAA